Long non-coding RNA from Bombyx mori (domestic silkworm), 1530 nucleotides. RefSeq lists it as uncharacterized. NCBI's taxonomy places the organism in Eukaryota, Metazoa, Arthropoda, Insecta, Lepidoptera, Bombycidae. The record is from RefSeq and is a predicted model, not a curated record. The transcript is spliced from 3 exons.
ACUUUUCAUCACCAUCAUCUUUCCAAAAACGGUUCGGUUUCAUUAUGUUUUCGUAGAUAAUCGCAAAUAAACACACGAUUCAUUAAGUUUCUUUGAGUGAGCCCAUAUAGCUGCCAAAAAUCGAGCUUUUUUCGUAUAUUCAGACAUUUUAAAUGGGUCAAAGCCGUUUGGUGGCAAUUCCACUCCAGCUAUGUCAUAAUUACUAAUAUGCUGACUUGGCGCCCAUUUUUCAAAUAUCACAUCAACGGUUCGUACCAGGUCGACCAGAGUAAGAGUAAACAUUAUCUUUGAUGUCAAAAUUGUUGGACUCAAAACACUUGAACCAAAUUGGUCCGCAAAUUUUGUUCGCGGAUUGUGUCGCUUUUUUGAAUAGAAUUUUUUUUGAAUUUUUUUGAAUUGGUUUCGUUUGCUUUACUCGUUUUAGCGGACAAGAAAAUAAUAGAAAAUUAGCGGAAAAUCGUUUUACUUUACCAGUUUUUUCAUUUAAUCUAUUACAUGAUAUUAAAAUCAGCUAAAUACGAACAAUGCAACCAUAGAUUUAUUAGUGCAACUUUUUAUAUAUAGAGUAGGUAAAAAUAUUUCGCCAACCUGGUAUUGUUUUAAACUUUGUAAUAGAAUACAUAUUGAGCACUCUGGAUCCAAACCAGCCUUUAGGUUAAGGUAGUUUUGAUGUUAAUUUUGAGUUUUUGUUUUAUUAUUAUUAAUAUUUGUUUUUUUGUUUUUUGUUAUUAUUAUUGCUUUUGUUUUAUUCCGAGAUUGUGGUUAUUAUUUUUAUUUAACUUUGGUAUACUAUAUGAAAUGUUAAUGAAUGUAAUAUGGAUGCAAAAUCUGAAGUAAAUGAAAUAAAUAAAUAGCAGCUAUAGAUUAGGUAUAAUGUAGUCUAUCUUUUGUAUAUUUAUUAUUUACAAUCUAAUACAUCCCCACGACUCCCUAGAAAAAUAAAUAAUGAAAACUAAAGAAUAAAAUAGUCGGAACAUUGGAAUUUUUCACCUCAUUUCUCAAUGUAGAUGAUGACAUAAACGUACAAUCUAUUUAUGGUUUGUGCUAAUUACAGUCAACUUUUGAUUGGAUAGUCGUUAAAUUUAAAAGAGACUAUUUGAUUUUUAUAAAUGUACGUAAAAUGAUUUUAACCUACUAGCAUAGGAGAGUGCAGUGCCUGCUUGCCUUCACAGGUUAAUAAAACUGUGUAAAACUGUAAAAAACAUGUUGAGAAACACCUACGCCACAAGGAAAAUCUUAGUCUGAACUUAAGUUUUGAUUUAAAUUGGCCAAGAAGCUUAAGGCCUCGUAUGAAAUGGUUGCAGGCGCACAUACUCGUAGACACGUGUUAGGAGCUUGAAGGAAUCCUCUAAGGCAGCGGUAAACAGUUUCGGAGAUAUGACCUGAUAAUCACCAACAUUAAAUUUGAAGAAUACGAAAAGAAUUAGAAGUAAUUAAACACAACUUUCUGCUGUUUAACUUCCCAAAUUAAAAUUUAACGAGUGUCCCUCUAAAUAUGUCUUAAUUUUAUUAAUAAAACAAAUAAAGUUU